This is a long non-coding RNA of Vombatus ursinus (common wombat), 1416 nucleotides long. RefSeq lists it as uncharacterized. NCBI's taxonomy places the organism in Eukaryota, Metazoa, Chordata, Mammalia, Diprotodontia, Vombatidae. The record is from RefSeq and is a predicted model, not a curated record. The transcript has 3 exons.
CUUCAUUCUCUCCUUUUCUCCCUUCCUUUUUCUCCCUCUUCUAACCCCCCCCAUCUCUCUCUAGGGAAAAACUUGGUAUCUGUGCCAACUUUCUUCCCCCUUCCCUCCCUCCUUCUCUCCUACUCUUUCCCCCCUCCCAACUGCUGCCAGCCGGCGUCAGCGCCGAAUUGCCAUCUCCCUCAGCUCUCUGUGGAGCAAUCUUGAGGAUCAGUAAGGUGUGACGCUGGGCUCUGCCGGCUUCGCAGCACCGCCUGCGGAAAGAGCGCAGGAUGGAGGAGGAAGAUUAAGAGAAAUCGCGAGCAGGGCUCUGCUGCCAUUGAGACUACCUCUUCCCCACUGCCCCCAGGAAUCCUAAGAGAAGUCAAGACGUGGAAAUGAGGGAGCAAAGCUAUGCUUGAAGAAUCAAAUGGUCAUUGGGCCACCAUCUUUCUGCAGAGAAGAGAAAAGAAUGCUCCAUUUUUCAGUCCUCUGAAGUCACAGUUGGGUCAUUGCAGUGAUCAGAGUCUGGAUAUGUUUCAACAUUGUUUUCCUUGAGUUCAUUGUGGUCUUGGGGUAGAUUGCUGCUCCCAGUUCAUCAGUUCAUACAAGUCUCCACAAAUUUUUCUGAAUUCUUCAUUUUUAUAAUUGUCUUUUUUUUUAUUUUGUCUGAGCCUAUGAUUUUCAUUGGUAAAAGGAAUUCCCAGGGAAGAAACUCCCUGUACCAAUAAGGGUGAGCAAGUCUUCUGCAGUUUCUUGUCCUAGAGAUUUGCCUAGGGCACUGAGAAGUUAUAUGGCUUACCCAGGAUCAAACAACCUGAGUGCCUUAAAAAUAACUGGGCUGUCCUAACUCUGAGGCCAGUCCUCUAAUCACUACACCAUGCUCCUGCCACUCCACACUGUUUGUUUCGUAAGGUACAAUAAUAUUACAUUGCAUUUAUAUACCACAAUUUGGCAAUUCCCUAGUUGGCACUUACUUCAUUUCCAGUUCUGUGCUAUCAUAAAAGGUGCCACUAUAAAUAUUUUUGUAUAUAUGGGACCUUUUCUCUCUCUCCUUGACUUCCUUGGGAUAUGUCCGGUAGUGAUAUAAUAGUUCAAAGGGUAUGUACAGUUCAGUGACUUUUUUUUUUUCUUCAGGCAUUUGGGGUUAAGUGACUUUAGUGACUUUUCUAUUGCAGUUGAAAAUUGUUUUCCAGAAAAGGCCGAAAUGGUUACUAGUUCCACCAAACAGUACAUUAGUGUCUCUGUCUUUCUACAACUCCUGACACUUCCAGUGGUCUUUCUCUAGCAUAUAUUUCUAAUAUAGGCUAAGAUUUCUUCUGAGCCCUCUAUAGAAAGCUCCUAGAGCAGGGUAUCUGAACCUUUUCAAUAUCAUAGACCCCUUUAUCAGUCUGGUGAAGCCCAUGGACCCCUUCUCUUGAUAAUAUUUUUAAAUGCAUC